RNAcentral lists this ribosomal RNA (1491 nucleotides) under uncultured prokaryote. Its description in RNAcentral is "partial 16S ribosomal RNA". It matches the Rfam family "Bacterial small subunit ribosomal RNA". The record is from RNAcentral.
AGAGUUUGAUCCUGGCUCAGAGUGAACGCUGGCGGCGUGGAUUAGGCAUGCAAGUCGCGCGAUCCUUCGGGAUAGCGGCAAACGGGUGAGUAACGCGUAGGCAAUUUUCCUUAAAGACAGGCACAGUAACGCGAAAGCGUUAGUAAUUCCUGAUAUGGCCACAGUACCGUAUGGUGCAGUGGUUAAAGGUGGGGAUUCUUCGGAACCUACCGCUUUAAGAUGAGCCUGCGUCCUAUCAGCUUGUUGGUGAGGUAAUGGCUCACCAAGGCGUAUGACGGGUAGUUGGUCUGAGAGGAUGAUCAGCCACACUGGGACUGAGACACUGCCCAGACUCCUACGGGAGGCUGCAGUCGAGAAUCAUUCACAAUGAACGAAAGUUUGAUGAUGCGACGCCGCGUGCAGGACGAAGGCCUUAGGGUCGUAAACUGCUUUUGUUUGGAAAGAAACUUUAAACUCUAACAUAGUUUAAACUGACGGUACCAUUCGAAUAAGCCACGGCCAACUCCGUGCCAGCAGCCGCGGUAAUACGGAGGUGGCAAGCGUUACUCGGAAUUAUUGGGUGUAAAGGGCAAGUAGGCGGUCUAGUAAGCGAGGGGUGAAAUCUUACGACUCAAUCGUAAAACUGCCUUUCGAACUACUAGACUUGAGGCCAAAAGAGGAAAACGGAAUUAGCAGUGUAAGGGUGAAAUCUGUAGAUAUUGCUAAGAACACCUGCGGCGAAGGCGGUUUUCUGGUUUGGUUCUGACGCUAAAUUGCGAAAGCUAGGGUAGCAAACGGAAUUAGAUACUCCGGUAGUCCUAGCCGUAAACGAUGAGUACUAGGUGUUGGGUCUUCGGACUCAGUGCCGCAGCUAACGCAUUAAGUACUCCACCUGGGGACUACGGCCGCAAGGCUAAAACUCAAAGGAAUUGACGGGGACCCGCACAAGCGGUGGAACAUGUGGUUUAAUUCGAUGCUACGCGAAGAACCUCACCAAGGCUUGACAUGCUCGUCGUACUCUGCCCAAAAGCGGAGGUCAUUUAGUUGGACGAUGCACAGGUGCUGCAUGGCUGUCGUCAGCUCGUGUCGUGAGAUGUUGGGUUAAGUCCCGCAACGAGCGCAACCAUUGCCCUAUGUUGCCACUUCGUCUUCGGACGGAAGCACUCUUAGGGGACUGCCCGGGAUAACCGGGAGGAAGGUGGAGAUGACGUCAAGUCAGUACCGGCCCUUAUGCCUUGGGCUACACACGUGUUACAAUGGACGGUACAAAGGGUUGCCAACCCGCGAGGGGGAGCUAAUCUCAAAAAACCGUCCCCAGUUCGGAUAACAGUCUGCAAUUCGACUGUUUGAAGCCGGAAUCGCUAGUAAUGGGAGAUCAGCUCGCUCCCGUGAAUAUCGUUCCCGGGUCUUGUACACACCGCCCGUCAAGCGAUGGAAGCCGGGGGUACCCGAAGUCCUAUGUAGAUAGGCCGAAGGUAAAAUUGGUGACUGGCGCUAAGUCGUAACAAGGUA